GCCUCGGUGGUGAAAUUGGUAGACGCGCCGGACUCAAAAUCCGGUUCCGCAAGGAGUGCCGGUUCGAUUCCGGCCCGAGGCACCA
Molecule: transfer RNA, 85 nt
Filed under: Paraburkholderia tropica
Lineage: Bacteria; Pseudomonadati; Pseudomonadota; Betaproteobacteria; Burkholderiales; Burkholderiaceae
Also listed under: 1 other name
Description: tRNA-Leu
Rfam family: tRNA
About the family: Transfer RNA (tRNA) molecules are approximately 80 nucleotides in length.
Source: RNAcentral